This 270-nucleotide ribosomal RNA is filed under the name uncultured archaeon. Its description in RNAcentral is "partial 16S ribosomal RNA". It matches the Rfam family "Archaeal small subunit ribosomal RNA", at positions 477 to 747 of the family's 1478-position model. The record is from RNAcentral.
CAGCACCUCAAGUGGUCAGGAUGAUUAUUGGGCCUAAAGCAUCCGUAGCCGGCGCUGUAAGUUUUCGGUUAAAUCUGUACGCUCAACGUACAGGCUGCCGGGAAUACUGCAGCGCUAGGGAGUGGGAGAGGUAGACGGUACUCGGUAGGAAGGGGUAAAAUCCUUUGAUCUAUUGAUGACCACCUGUGGCGAAGGCGGUCUACCAGAACACGUCCGACGGUGAGGGAUGAAAGCUGGGGGAGCGAACCGGAUUAGAUACCCGAGUAGUCC